UUGCUACCACUGUUGACGGGGAUUAUCAGAUAUAUCCGAAAGUGUAGUUAGGAAAAUGUCAGCAGUGUUGCUGAGGUGAAUGUGGUGGUGUUCAAGAUUGUACGUAACACGGUUCAACGUUAUGGGGAGUGUACUUUUCAUCGUUGCCUUAGUCAUAGGCAUCCACGUGAAAUGUUGUUCAUUUCAUGAUAUUUCACAUUUAUCAGUAGAUGAUGUCACCUCAAUGUUUGGAGAUAAUGAAUGCAUUGAAGGUUCACUCAUCGAUUUUCAACCAUCUUCAACGAUGCCUCCGACAGCUUUUGCAUAUGAAGAUCUUCAAGCAAUGCUGAAGAAGUUAGGAGGAAGAGUUGCUCAGGAGUGGGCACCAUCAAUAUCAGGCAUAUAUAGUGCAUUCUUAUCAGAAAACAUGACAAAAGCAGGGGUGUAUACUGAAACAAAAACAAAGACAAAAUCAGCAACAAAAUCAACCAGAAGUGAAUACAGUGCUUCAGACUUCAGUGGAAAAACACCUAUGUCAGUUGUCAAUGAGCUGUCACUUUUAAUGAAGGUUCGACCUGAGUACUCUUUGAUAGAUAUGCAGGGACCACCUCAUGAGAGAACUUUCACUGUUAGUUUAAAAUUUGGAGGUGAAGAGUAUUCUGCUUCUGGUUCAAGCAUUAAAAAAGCACAACAGUUGGUGGCAAAUAAGUUUCUUCAGCACACACUUUAUCAGCAACCUCUACAGCAAUUGGCUCACAAACAACAAAUGCGUAAAAGUAAUAUUGGAACAAAAACAGCAACAUCUAUAGUCUAUGAAAUCGCAGCCAAGCAGAAGUUAUCUCUCACUUUUGAAGUGGAAAGUCAAACAGGUCCAGCACAUAUGCCUACAUUUGUGACAAGAUGUGUAUUGGGGGACAAAAUCUCAAGAGGACAAGCCAACAGUAAAAAGUUGUCAAAGAGAGCAGCAGCUGAGAAAAUGCUGGAAUUAGUCCAAUAUAAUGAGUCAUAUUCCUUUCUGUCAAACUCAAUGAAGAGGAAGUCUAAGAAGAAGCGACGUUCAUCUCAAAAGAAGAAAAGAACUCGCAGUAUUCUCAAUACUUUUGAACAGAUGAAUCCCAGUUUUCGGACAGAUGAAACAAUUGCAGCAGUAAUGAAUUCAGAGUUUUGGGAUGUUUCCAGUGACAACAACAAAGGUUUGAAUCAAAGAUUGGUAGCAUUUGCAAAGCAGCUGGUGAAGAGUGGAAGUUCCUUUCUUGGUGAGCCUACUGUGAAGUCAACACUUACAGACACGUCUUCCACCUUCAGCUCCAAAUCACAAACAUCACAAGACCAAAAAGUUACUGCAAAACACACAUUGAUGCAAGCAGCUGAUUUAUUGGAUUUUAAAGUUCAUUUCGUAGAUUUGCCUAAGCCUAAUGAUGAAUUCUUAAGUUUGGUAUCAUUGGCAACAAACCAGCCUUCACUUUGUCUCGGUGUUGGAUCAACAGUUGAUGCCUCACAGGAACAGGCUGCCCUGAGAGCUUUGAAGGCCUUGUGGAAACUGGAUGUGGAACAAAUCUCGUCUAACUCUGCUCCCAAUAAAACGAUGGGCUGGGGAGACUGGUUUCAGUGGUCAGAAGAAAUGGUGCAAAGUGCUCGGAAUGCCUUCCACAUUAAAUAAGAUAGUACAUUCAGUGUCCUUGGUAGGUUGUAAUAUAGUUACACCUAAAAACUGUUGUCUUGGUCUUGGGUGGCCCUGCUAUGACACAUGUGAAUGAAAUGAGGAUACUUUGUGUGUCCACCAUGCUGGCCAAGCAAGAGAUUUACCAUCUUGAGAUCAAUGCACAUAAACCACUGGUGCUCCUGAUAAUGAAGAUUCUCCAAAUGCAUUUUGAUACGUCAUAUUUUUCAGUAAGUUGUGUUGAGUGCACUAACAUUGCCAACACAGAAAGAUUUAUUCUGCUAAACUGAAGUUAAAAUUCUGCUAAAAUCCGCUAAAUGCCUAUUAUUAUUAUUAUUAUUAUUAUUA
RNAcentral lists this unclassified non-coding RNA (1987 nucleotides) under Schistocerca americana (American grasshopper). Its description in RNAcentral is "maternal effect protein staufen-like, transcript variant X3". The record is from RNAcentral. Lineage: Eukaryota; Metazoa; Arthropoda; Insecta; Orthoptera; Acrididae.